UGAACUGUGAACUGCAGCAGU
RNAcentral lists this microRNA (21 nucleotides) under Oreochromis niloticus (Nile tilapia). RNAcentral's name for it is "oni-miR-10967". Lineage: Eukaryota; Metazoa; Chordata; Actinopteri; Cichliformes; Cichlidae. The record is from miRBase by way of RNAcentral.